UCUGUCCUGCAAAAUGGUGUAAGGUC
Molecule: non-coding RNA, 26 nt
Filed under: Rattus norvegicus (Norway rat)
Lineage: Eukaryota; Metazoa; Chordata; Mammalia; Rodentia; Muridae
Source: RNAcentral